AGUCACUGACGAGUUUGAUUAUGGCUCAGAACGAACGCUGGCGGCAUGCCUAACACAUGCAAGUCGAACGAACCCUUCGGGGUGAGUGGCGCACGGGUGCGUAACGCGUGGGAACCUGCCCUUAGGUUCGGAAUAACAGUGAGAAAUCGCUGCUAAUACCGGAUAAUGUCUUCGGACCAAAGAUUUAUCGCCUUUGGAUGGGCCCGCGUUGGAUUAGCUAGUUGGUGGGGUAAAGGCUCACCAAGGCGACGAUCCAUAGCUGGUCUUAGAGGAUGAUCAGCCACACUGGGACUGAGACACGGCCCAGACUCCUACGGGAGGCAGCAGUGGGGAAUAUUGGACAAUGGGCGAAAGCCUGAUCCAGCAGUGCCGCGUGAGUGAUGAAGGCCUUAGGGUUGUAAAGCUCUUUUACCAGGGAUGAUAAUGACAGUACCUGGAGAAUAAGCUCCGGCUAACUCCGUG
RNAcentral lists this ribosomal RNA (462 nucleotides) under uncultured bacterium. RNAcentral's name for it is "bacterial SSU rRNA". It matches the Rfam family "Bacterial small subunit ribosomal RNA", at positions 1 to 507 of the family's 1533-position model. The record is from RNAcentral.